UCUAGUUUAUCCUGCUGGAGGUCACUGCUAUCAGGAUUCGAUUAAGCCAUGCAAGUCAGGGAGCAAUCCCGGCGUAAAGCUCAGUAACACACAGUCAACCUGCCCUAAGGUGGGGGAUAACCGCGGGAAACUGCGAAUAAUACCCCAUAGUUCAAAAAUGCUGGGAUGCGUUUUGAAUCAAAGAUUUAUCGCCCUAGGAUGGGACUGUGGCCUAUCAGACUGUUGGCGGGGUAACGGCCCACCAAAUCGGAGACGGGUACGGGUUGUGAGAGCAUCAGCCCGGAGAUGGGAACUGAGACAACGUUCCAGGUCCUACGGGACGCAGCAGGCGCGAAAACUUCGCAAUGCGGGAAACCGCGACGGGGGAAUCCUGAGUGCUUGCACAAUGUGCAAGCUUUUCUUGAGUCUAAACCGCUCUUGGAAUAAGGUCUGGGCAAGACCGGUGCCAGCAGCCGCGGUAACACCGGCGGAUCGAGUGGUGACCAUGAUUACUGGGCUUAAAGCGUUCGUAGCCUGAUGUGUACAUUUCUGGUGAAAUCUAGCGACUCAAUCGUUAGGCGUGCCCGAAACACGGCGCAUCUUGGAACCGGAAGAGGUUCGGAAUUGUGGGGGUAAGGGUAAAAUCUGUUGAUCCCCGCAGGACCACCGAUAGCGAAGGCAGCUAACCAGGACGGCUUCGACGGUGAGGGACGAAACCCUAGGUAGCGAACCGGAUUAGAUACCCGGGUAGUCUAGGGCGUAAACGAUGUCAGUCAGGUGUCGCGUUCAAUACGUUUGAAUUGCGGUGCCGAAGGGAAACCGUUAAACUGACCGCCUGGGGAGUACGGUCGCAAGGCUGAAACUUAAAGGAAUUGGCGGGGGGGCACCACAAGGGGUGAAGCUUGCGGUUUAAUUAGAUUCAACGCUGGAAAACUCACCAGGGGCGACGAUUGUAUGAGAGUCAAGCUGAUGACUUUACUCGAUAAGUCGAGAGGUGUUGCAUGGCCGCCGACAGCUCGUGUCGUGAGAUGUCAGGUUAAGUCCUGCAACGAGCGAGACCCACGCCGCCACUUGCUAAUCAUUUCUCCGGAAAGGAUGCACAGUGACGGGACUGCCCAUGAUAAAAGGGAGGAAGGGUGGGCGACGGUAGGUCAGUAUGGCCCGAAUCUCCUGGGCUACACGCGAGCUGCAAUGGUUGGGACAAUGGGAUGCCACGCCGAAAGGCGCAGCAAAUCCUCUAAACCCAGCCCUAGUUCGAAUUGAGGAUUGCAACCCAUCCUCAUGAAGAUGGAAUCCCCAGUAAUCGGAGUUCAACAGACUCCGGUGAAUACGUCCCUGCUCCUUGCACACACCGCCCGUCAAGCCAGCCGAAUGAGCUUUUGAUGAGGUAUGCGACAUUGUGCGCGUAACGAGUCAGAUGUUUGUAAGGGGGGCUAAGUCGUAACAAGGUA
This 1430-nucleotide ribosomal RNA is filed under the name metagenome. RNAcentral describes it as "bacterial SSU rRNA". It matches the Rfam family "Archaeal small subunit ribosomal RNA". The record is from RNAcentral.